AUACGAAGGGAGCUAGCGUUGUUCGGAAUUACUGGGCGUAAAGCGCACGUAGGCGGAUUGAUUAGUUAGGGGUGAAAUCCCAGGGCUUAACCCUGGAACUGCCUCUAAUACUGUCAGUCUAGAGAUCGAGAGAGGUGAGUGGAAUUCCGAGUGUAGAGGUGAAAUUCGUAGAUAUUCGGAGGAACACCAGUGGCGAAGGCGGCUCACUGGCUCGAUACUGACGCUGAGGUGCGAAAGCGUGGGGAGCAAACAGGAUUAGAUACCCUAGUAGUCC
Molecule: ribosomal RNA, 274 nt
Filed under: uncultured bacterium
Lineage: Bacteria
Description: partial 16S ribosomal RNA
Rfam family: Bacterial small subunit ribosomal RNA
Source: RNAcentral